UCUCAAUAUAAAUCCCUCUAAAAUGUCUCUCUCAAAAUAUCUCUCUCAAUUUCUCUGUCAUUAGCUCUCCCUCAACCAAUAUCUUUCUCAAUAUUACUCCCCCCCCCAAUAUCGUCGUCUCGCUCAAUAUCUCUCCAUCAAUGCACGGCUGCUCUUCCUUUGCAGUUCCCCGUGUCCCGCGACCGAGUCCCAGCGAGAAGGUCGCGCAGGGUUAAUUCCUCUGAAAACUCUGCAUCUCCGACCGCGACAAGGUAACUAGCCAUGGAGGAUUGCAUUAAAUGGGACAUAUCUGCAUCUGACAGACCUCUGCAUUCCCUGAUGGCGCCUGGAGAGGCGCGUCCUGCUCACUGUGAAGUACACUACAGUUCACCGUCCCCCUCAGGGGCAUCAGGCCAACCGCAGUGCACACUGUAAAAAAAUAGAAUGCCAUUUGGGAGGCCAGCGGAGAGACAGAGGAGGAUAAGGGUCUUUCAUCAUGAUGUCACUCAGUUAUGUCCCAGUCACCGAAGGAGGACCGCUAUGGGAUGCAGGAGGUUCAGGGGGGCUGCAGGAGGUUCAGGGGGGCUGCAGGAGGUUCAGGGGGGGCUGCGGCAUGGUGUGGAUCACAGGUGGUGUCCUGACCCGCGGUGUCUAUUCUUGGUGUUCCGACUCCGUACCUUACAUCUGAGAUCAAACUUGUGUUUAUCACUACCUCAACUUCUUGGAAUGAAGAACAUUCUCUCUCUCUCUCUCUCCCUCUCCCUCUCUCUGCCUUUCUCUUUUCCUCUUCCUCUCUCUUUUUCUCCAGCUGGCAAAAUGGAUGCAAUUUCCUUGACAGCACUGAUAUUCUAGAUAUUACGGGAACAUAAUUUUAUGGGAACACAACCUCUACAACAAUGGAAUGACAUACCUAAUUUUACAGCCUCCAUCAUAACCUCACACGACCAGGAAAGGACUUAGACACUCAGAAGUCUGCAGUUUGUGAUUCAGCAUAGCCAGCAUAGUGCCUUCGUAUCAUGCUAAGUGGGUUGCUUGUCUGCGGCAGGGACAGGGACACUGGUCUGGUCUAAAGGAAGGAAUAACGAGAGGACCUGGAAGAAAACCGGAUCAAGAGUUCAAAGGACCUCAGACUGGGGAGAAGAUUCACCUUUAAGCAGGACAAAGAAGCACAGAGGCAAAACCACGCUGGAGUGGCUUUGGGACCAGUCUGUGAAUGUCCAGCCAAAGCUCGGAUUUGAACCCAGUUGUACAUCGGAGGGGAGGUUAAUUGAUGCUCCUCAGCUAAUCUGACAGAGCUUGAGAGUAUGUACCAGGAAGAAUCGAAGAAACUGCCAUAAUCCAGGUGUGCAAAGCUGGGCAUAACCAAGAAGACUCAAAUCUGUGAUCGUUGCCAAAGAAGCUUCUAUAAAGCAUUGAAUAAAGGCACUGAAUACUAAUGUGUAUGAGAUAUUUCAGUUUUGCAUGUUUAAUCAUUUGGCCCAAAUUUCUAAUGAUAAUAGCACAUUUUAAAUUUUAAAUGAAGUCUAUAACACAACAUAAUGCGGAGAAGGUGAAGGGGUGUGAAUACUUUUCGUAGGCACAUAUUUGUUGCAUGACAUUGAACAUGCAUAGCUGACAUGUCUGGCAGUCUGAGCUAUGAUUUCUAAAAGAGUAGGAUUAAUAGAAUGUUGCAUAUCUAUAUGUAUAUACGAUCGGACCUAGCCACCUAAUUAGAUACCUAAUUUAAUAGGUUAAUUGAAUUAACACAGAUGAUUAUUGUACAUUUUUUUACAUUAAUG
Long non-coding RNA from Esox lucius (northern pike), 1757 nucleotides. The record is from Ensembl. Lineage: Eukaryota; Metazoa; Chordata; Actinopteri; Esociformes; Esocidae.